UACGAAGGGGGCUAGCGUUGUUCGGAAUUACUGGGCGUAAAGCGCACGUAGGCGGAUUUGUAAGUCAGGGGUGAAAUCCCGGGGCUCAACCUCGGAACUGCCUUUGAUACUGCAAGUCUUGAGACCGGAAGAGGUGAGUGGAAUUCCUAGUGUAGAGGUGAAAUUCGUAGAUAUUAGGAAGAACACCAGUGGCGAAGGCGGCUCACUGGUCCGGUUCUGACGCUGAGGUGCGAAAGCGUGGGGAGCAAACAGG
Molecule: ribosomal RNA, 253 nt
Filed under: uncultured bacterium
Lineage: Bacteria
Description: partial 16S ribosomal RNA
Rfam family: Bacterial small subunit ribosomal RNA
Source: RNAcentral